This 570-nucleotide ribosomal RNA is filed under the name uncultured bacterium. RNAcentral describes it as "partial 16S ribosomal RNA". The record is from RNAcentral.
GAUUACUAGGGAUUCCGACUUCACGCAUCCGAGUUGCAGACUGCGAUCCGGACUACGAUCGGCUUUUUGAGAUUAGCAUCCUCUCGCGAGGUAGCAACCCUUUGUACCGACCAUUGUAGCACGUGUGUAGCCCUGGUCGUAAGGGCCAUGAUGACUUGACGUCGUCCCCGCCUUCCUCCAGUUUGUCACUGGCAGUAUCCUUAAAGUUCCCACCCGAAGUGCUGGCAAAUAAGGAAAAGGGUUGCGCUCGUUGCGGGACUUAACCCAACAUCUCACGACACGAGCUGACGACAGCCAUGCAGCACCUGUAUGUAAGCUCCCGAAGGCACCAAUCCAUCUCUGGAAAGUUCUUACUAUGUCAAGACCAGGUAAGGUUCUUCGCGUUGCAUCGAAUUAAACCACAUGCUCCACCGCUUGUGCGGGCCCCCGUCAAUUCAUUUGAGUUUUAGUCUUGCGACCGUACUCCCCAGGCGGUCUACUUAUCGCGUUAGCUGCGCCACUAAAGCCUCAAAGGCCCCAACGGCUAGUAGACAUCGUUUACGGCAUGGACUACCAGGGUAUCUAAUCCUG